CAGCGCCACGAGUGGGAACCAGAAUUAUUGGGUUUAAAGCGUCCGUAGCCGGCUAAGUAAAUCUUUUGUGAAAUCGUUAAGCUUAACUUAACGUCGUGCAGAAGACACUGCUUAGCUUGGGACCGGGAGAAGUUAGGAGAAUGCCAGGGGAAGCGGUAAAAUGCUAUAAUCCCUGGUAGACUACCUGUGGCGAAGGCGCCUAACUAGAACGGAUCCGACGGUGAGGGUCGAAAGCCAGGGGAGCGAACCGGAUUAGAUACCCGAGUAGUCC
Molecule: ribosomal RNA, 271 nt
Filed under: uncultured archaeon
Lineage: Archaea
Description: partial 16S ribosomal RNA
Rfam family: Archaeal small subunit ribosomal RNA
Source: RNAcentral